This 450-nucleotide ribosomal RNA is filed under the name Triticum aestivum (bread wheat). RNAcentral's name for it is "partial small subunit ribosomal RNA". Lineage: Eukaryota; Viridiplantae; Streptophyta; Magnoliopsida; Poales; Poaceae. The record is from RNAcentral.
AUGUUCACCAAGGGACAAUAUAUUUUAGAAGGGAUCCCCGUCCUGCACAAGGUCCUUCAUGAGGUCAAAAGGAAACGCCUACGCGCAAUUUUCGUUAAGAUUGAUUUUCAUAAGGCAUAUGAUACAGUCCACUGGUCCUUCCUUCGGGAGGUGAUGUCGACGCGGGGCUUUGACUCCCAUUGGAUUGCGUGUGUUAUGCAGCUAGUGUCGAGCGGGCGCAUGGUGAUCAAUAUCAAUGGGGAGGUUGGCCCCUAUUUCCACACGGAUCAAGGGGUGCGACAGGUAGAUUCCUUGUCACCCUUCUUAUUCAACCUUGUUGCCGAUGCCAUGGCGGCUAUGUUGGACCUAGCAAAAAGGGCCAGCCAUAUUAGCGGCAUCUGCCUGCACUGCUGCACCUCAUUGGAGAAGGGGGACUUACCCACCUUCAAUACGUGGAUGACGCAAUCCUAA